UACCUUGUUACGACUUCAUCCCAGCUACCGCUCAUAGCGUAGGCGGCUGCAUCCUUGCGGUUAGCGCGCCGACUUCGGCUACAAGCGACUCCCAUGAUGUGACGGGCGGUGUGUACAAGGCCCGGGAACGUAUUCACGGCGUCGUAGCUGAUACGCCAUUACUAGCGAUUCCGGCUUCAUGAAGUCGAGUUGCAGACUUCAAUCUGAACUGGGCCCAGUUUUAGUGAUUUCCUCCACCUCGCGGUCUUGGAUCGUUCUGUGCUGGGCAUUGUAGUACGUGUGCAGCCCAGGCCGUAAGGGCCAUACUGACUUGACGUCGUCCCCACCUUCCUCCCCGUUAGAGCGGGGCAGUCUGAACAGAGUGCUCGAGCCUCACGGCUCGGUGGCAACAGUUCACAGGGGUUGCGCUCGUUGCGGGACUUAACCCAACAUCUCACGACACGAGCUGACGACAGCCAUGCAGCAUCUGUGCAAAUCGUCCCUUGCGGGACUCGCUGGCUUUCACCAACUUAGAGAUGCAUGUCAAGGCCUGGUAAGGUUCAUCGCGUUGCAUCGAAUUGAGCCACAUACUCCACCGCUUGUGCGGGCCCCCGUCAAUUUCUUUGAGUUUUAAUCUUGCGACCGUACUCCCCAGGCGGCACGUUUAACGCGUUAGCUCCGGCGCAGAAGGGGUCGAAUCCUCCCACACCAAACGUGCACCGUUUACUGUCAGGACUACCGGGGUAUCUAAUCCCGUUUGCUCCCCUGACCUUCGUGCCUCAGCGUCAGGAACUGUCCAGAGACCCGCCUUCGCCACUGGUCUUCCUUACGAUAUCUACGCAUUUCACCUCUACACCGAGAAUUCCGCUUCCCUCUCCAGCACUCAAUCCCCGCAGUUUCAAGUGCACUUCCUAGGUUGAGCCCAGGGCUUUCACACCUGACUUGCAGGGCAGCCUACACGCGCUUUACGCCCAGUAAUUCCGAACAACGUUUGCACCCUCUGUCUUACCGCGGCUGCUGGCACAGAGUUAGCCGGUGCUUGCUAAAGGGAUACCGUCAUCACCAUGGAUAUUAGCCAUGGCUUAUUCGUCUCCCUCCACAGAGCUUUACAACCCGAAGGCCUUCAUCACUCACGCGGCGUCGCUGCGUCAGGGUUGCCCCCAUUGCGCAAGAUUCCCCACUGCUGCCUCCCGUAGGAGUCUGGACCGUGUCUCAGUUCCAGUGUGGCUGAUCAUCCUCUCAGACCAGCUACCCGUCUUAGGCUUGGUAGGCCGUUACCCUACCAACUACCUGAUGGGCCGCAGGCUCAUCCUCAAGUGCCAGCUUAUGUAUAGUGGCCGGCUUUGACCCCUGCUCCUUUCGAAGCCGUGGUCUUAUGCGGUAUUAGCCCUCCUUUCGGAAGGUUAUCCCCCGCUCGAGGGAAGAUUACCUACGUGUUACUCACCCGUGCGCCGCUGUACCGGGGCCGAAGCCCUUUCUCGCUCGACUUGCAUGUGUUAGGCGCGCCGCUAACGUUCGUUCUGAGCCAGGAUCAAACUCU
This 1519-nucleotide ribosomal RNA is filed under the name uncultured bacterium. Its description in RNAcentral is "partial 16S ribosomal RNA". The record is from RNAcentral.